This 483-nucleotide ribosomal RNA is filed under the name uncultured bacterium. Its description in RNAcentral is "partial 16S ribosomal RNA". It matches the Rfam family "Bacterial small subunit ribosomal RNA", at positions 30 to 507 of the family's 1533-position model. The record is from RNAcentral.
AUUGAACGCUGGCGGCAGGCCUAACACAUGCAAGUCGAGCGGCAGCAGGGAGAUUGCUCCUGGAUACAGCGGCGGACGGGUGAGUAAUGCAUAGAAACCUGCCUGGUAGUGGGGGAUAACGUGCGGAAACGGGCGCUAAUACCGCAUACGUCCUGAGGGAGUAAGUGGGGGAUCUUCGGACCUCACGCCAUCAGAUGAGCGUAGGUGGGAUUAGCAGGUUGUGGGGUAAAGGCCGACCAAGGCGACGAUCCGUAACUGGUCUGAGAGGAUGAUCAGUCACACUGGAACUGAGACACGGUCCAGACUCCUACGGGAGGCAGCAGUGGGGAAUAUUGGACAAUGGGCGAAAGCCUGAUCCAGCCAUGCCGCGUGUGUGAAGAAGGUCUUCGGAUUGUAAAGCACUUUAAGUUGGGAGGAAGAGCAGUAAGUUAAUACCUUGCUGUUUUGACGUUACCAACAGAAUAAGCACCGGCUAACUUCGUG